AGAGUUUGAUCAUGGCUCAGGACGAACGCUGGCGGCGCGCCUAACACAUGCAAGUCGAGCGAGAACCAGGGCUUCGGCCCUGGGGACAGCGGCGAACGGGUGAGUAACACGUGGAUAACCUGCCCUCGGCACCGGAAUAGCCCGGGGAAACCCGGAUUAAUGCCGGAUAGCCCCACAUCCCUGCGGGGAACGUGGGAAAAGGUAGCUUCGGCCUCUGGCCGAGGAGGGGUCCGCGGUGGAUUAGCUUGUUGGCGGGGUAACGGCCCACCAAGGCGACGAUCCAUAGCUGGUCUGAGAGGACGGUCAGCCACACUGGGACUGAGACACGGCCCAGACUCCUACGGGAGGCAGCAGUGGGGAAUCUUGCGCAAUGGGCGAAAGCCUGACGCAGCGACGCCGCGUGCGGGAAGAAGGCCUUAGGGUUGUAAACCGCUUUCAGGAGGGACGAAGCCACUCGGGUUAAUAGCCCAGAGGGUGACGGUACCUCCAGAAGAAGCCCCGGCUAACUACGUGCCAGCAGCCGCGGUA
RNAcentral lists this ribosomal RNA (528 nucleotides) under uncultured Actinomycetes bacterium. Its description in RNAcentral is "bacterial SSU rRNA". It matches the Rfam family "Bacterial small subunit ribosomal RNA", at positions 8 to 522 of the family's 1533-position model. The record is from RNAcentral. Lineage: Bacteria; Bacillati; Actinomycetota; Actinomycetes.